RNAcentral lists this ribosomal RNA (441 nucleotides) under uncultured bacterium. RNAcentral's name for it is "partial 16S ribosomal RNA". It matches the Rfam family "Bacterial small subunit ribosomal RNA", at positions 338 to 795 of the family's 1533-position model. The record is from RNAcentral.
CCUACGGGAGGCAGCAGUGGGGAAUAUUGCACAAUGGGCGCAACCCUGAUGCAGCCACGCCGCGUGAGUGAAGAAGUAUUUCGGUAUGUAAAGCUCUAUCAGCAGGGAGGAAGAAAGACGGUACCUUACUGAUAAGCCGCGGCUAACUACGUGCCAGCAGCCGGGGUAAUACGUAGGGGGCGCGCGUUAUCCGGAUUUACUGGGUGUAAAGGGAGCGUAGACGGCUGUGCAAGGCUGAAGUGAAAGCCCGUGGCUCAAACGCGGAACUGCUUUGGAAACUGUAUAGCUUGAGUACGGGUGAGGCAGGCGGAAUGCGUGGUGUAGCGGUGAAAUGCGUAGAUAUUAGGAGGAACACCAGUGGCGAAGGCAGCAUGCGGGAGAGAAACUGACGUUGAGGCUCGAAAGCGUGGGUAGCAAACAGGAUUAGAUACCCGUGUAGUC